Molecule: ribosomal RNA, 254 nt
Filed under: uncultured prokaryote
Description: partial 16S ribosomal RNA
Rfam family: Bacterial small subunit ribosomal RNA
Source: RNAcentral
UACGGAGGGUGCAAGCGUUAAUCGGAAUUACUGGGCGUAAAGGGUGCGUAGGUGGUUGUAUAAGUUAGCUGUGAAAUUCCUGGGCUUAACCUGGGGUGGUCAGCUAAGACUGUAUGACUUUGAGUCUAGGAGAGGGUAGUGGAAUUUCCGGUGUAGCGGUGAAAUGCGUAGAGAUCGGAAGGAACACCAGUGGCGAAGGCGGCUACCUGGCCUAAGACUGACACUGAGGCACGAAAGCGUGGGGAGCAAACAGG